Non-coding RNA from Plutella xylostella (diamondback moth), 442 nucleotides. The record is from RefSeq and is a predicted model, not a curated record. NCBI's taxonomy places the organism in Eukaryota, Metazoa, Arthropoda, Insecta, Lepidoptera, Plutellidae.
CAAAAAGUCAUAACACCAGUAUCCACUUCUGCAAGCUCAACAUCUUUGUCACCAACAGCAUCUUCUGCUGCUAAAAAAGCUCUGAUGACUUUAAACUUACCAAAAAACUCUCCAUCUUUACCUUCAGUGCAACUUUCAAUAUCUUCAAGUCCUUCUACAGCGUUGUGUAUGACAUCCAGCUAUGUUGCACCAGCCCUACCAGUUGCUUCAUCUUCACUAGAUAACGAUUCAAUUGUUUCUAGUGAGUUGGCACGUUCUGUGUUUAAUUACGCAAAUGAAGAAUUCGUUGCAGUUGUUGACAGUGAUUAUGAGGCCAGUUGCACGUUAUCGACAACAUACUGUAAUAAUAAGAAGUCAUCAGUUAUUUUACACAAAAGCUACGAGGAGACUGCAGAAAAAAAUGCAGAGUUUUAAAACAACAAGUGAAUAAAUAAAUACAUAA